GGCACCUGUCCCACAGGAUUGUUUGGAGGAGAGCACCUGGCACUAGAAAGGCUCAGCUCACAGGAUAGUUAAUGUGCUGGAUGGAGGUGUACAGGAAAGACUUAUCUGGGGGGUGGUAGAGGCCCAAGGACAGGCUUAUGUCCAGAAGCAUCCCACUUAUGUCCACUCUCCACCCAGAGGUGCGCAUGGCUGAGAUGGUGUCCAUGGGUGUGGGGAACAAGGCCUUCCGAGACAUUGCUUCCAGCGAGGAAGCCAUCAACGACCGCACCGUCAACUAUGUCCUGAAGUGCCGAGAAGUUCGCUAACGGGCGUCCAUUGCCGUAGCCCC
Molecule: long non-coding RNA, 328 nt
Filed under: Pan troglodytes (chimpanzee)
Lineage: Eukaryota; Metazoa; Chordata; Mammalia; Primates; Hominidae
Description: long non-coding RNA NONPTRT006084
Source: RNAcentral